Molecule: RNase P RNA, 433 nt
Filed under: Planctomycetota bacterium
Lineage: Bacteria; Pseudomonadati; Planctomycetota
Description: RNase P RNA component class A
Rfam family: Bacterial RNase P class A
About the family: Ribonuclease P (RNase P) is a ubiquitous endoribonuclease, found in archaea, bacteria and eukarya as well as chloroplasts and mitochondria. Its best characterised activity is the generation of mature 5'-ends of tRNAs by cleaving the 5'-leader elements of precursor-tRNAs. Cellular RNase Ps are ribonucleoproteins.
Source: RNAcentral
UGAUUCCGGCAGUCGCCAUGUCGCGGCCUUGGCAACGACACGGAGGAAAGUCCGGGCUCCAUAGGGCAGGAGGGUCGCUAACGGCGACCGGCGGCAACGCCAGGGAAAGUGGCACAGAAAACAAACCGCCUGACUUGCGUGUCUGGUUGCAGGGAUCGCCUGGAAGUUCCCGCGGCUGGCGCAGACCGAAAGGUUUCAGGCAAGGGUGAAAUGGUGCGGUAAGAGCGCACCGCGUGACUGGAGACAGCCACGGCAGGCUAAACCCCCUCCGGAGCAAGGCCAAAUAGGGGCUGAGCUGCGGCCCGCAGCGUUGAAGCCCGGGUAGGCUGCUUGAGGUGCGUGGCAACACGUUACCCAGAGGAAUGACUGCCUGCCCCGGACAGACCGCAAGGCCUGUUCAGGGUAAACAGAACCCGGCUUACGGAUUCACAAU